RNAcentral lists this ribosomal RNA (253 nucleotides) under uncultured bacterium. RNAcentral describes it as "partial 16S ribosomal RNA". It matches the Rfam family "Bacterial small subunit ribosomal RNA", at positions 524 to 776 of the family's 1533-position model. The record is from RNAcentral.
UACGUAGGGAGCAAGCGUUGUCCGGAAUCAUUGGGCGUAAAGCGCGUGUAGGCGGCUUGAUAAGUCUGCUCUGAAAGCCCGGGGCUCAACCCUGGGAGGCGGGUGGAUACUGUCGAGCUCGAGUCCGGAAGAGGCGAGUGGAAUUCCUGGUGUAGCGGUGAAAUGCGCAGAUAUCAGGAGGAACACCAAUGGCGAAGGCAGCUCGCUGGGACGGUACUGACGCUGAGACGCGAAAGCGUGGGGAGCAAACAGG